UAGGAUGGCUCCUUCUACUACAAGGGAAAAAGGUGCGACAGAGACAGUGCACCCAACACAAAAUAUGAUAUGCAUGAUUCGCCUGCAACUUCAAGUGAAUGUAAAUAGAAUACUGACCUUAACUUCACCCUUGUCUAAGCAAACCUAGAUUUCUCUCUCUUACCUCUUUUCUCUAUUUCCUCACCAUUCUUUCACCUACCAUGAGCCACACCCACUUCUCCAAAUGGGGUGGCUGCAAUCCUUCUUCACUCCAUUGAAGAAGCUUUGGGUUCGGCUGCACUCAGCUCACAAGAAAAGCAGAGGGAUAUACAUCCUGUAUGAAGAUGUCAAGUCCUGCCCCUACGAAGAUGUGCACGUGCUAUGGUCGAUACUAGUUGAGUCACAUCCGGCUGCUCUUCCGUCACCAAAAUGAAGGAUCUGUCUUUUCCUGUCACCAAAAUGAAUGCUCUUACAUGUGCACACAGAAACAUGGCAGAAAAAUGAGAGAUUCUCACUCAUGUACAUAAGUUACGAAAACUGUCUUGCACUGGUAUAAGUUUUGUAUUUCUUUUUCUUUUUUGUUUCUUUACUUUCUUGUAAGUGUACUCCACCUUAGAAUGUGCUUUUAAAUUAUUGAACUUCUGUUUGGCUCAA
Molecule: long non-coding RNA, 633 nt
Organism: Cornus florida
Lineage: Eukaryota; Viridiplantae; Streptophyta; Magnoliopsida; Cornales; Cornaceae
Exons: 2
Source: RefSeq, a predicted model, not a curated record